This 497-nucleotide ribosomal RNA is filed under the name uncultured bacterium. Its description in RNAcentral is "partial 16S ribosomal RNA". It matches the Rfam family "Bacterial small subunit ribosomal RNA", at positions 28 to 507 of the family's 1533-position model. The record is from RNAcentral.
GAUGAACGCUGGCGGCGUGCCUAAUACAUGCAAGUCGAGCGAACGGACGAGAAGCUUGCUUCUCUGAUGUUAGCGGCGGACGGGUGAGUAACACGUGGAUAACCUACCUAUAAGACUGGGAUAACUUCGGGAAACCGGAGCUAAUACCGGAUAAUAUUUUGAACCGCAUGGUUCAAAAGUGAAAGACGGUCUUGCCGUCACUUAUAGAUGGAUCCGCGCUGCAUUAGCUAGUUGGUAAGGUAACGGCUUACCAAGGCAACGAUGCAUAGCCGACCUGAGAGGGUGAUCGGCCACACUGGAACUGAGACACGGUCCAGACUCCUACGGGAGGCAGCAGUGGGGAAUCUUCCGCAAUGGGCGAAAGCCUGACGGAGCAACGCCGCGUGAGUGAUGAAGGUCUUCGGAUCGUAAAACUCUGUUAUUGGGGAAGAACAUAUGUGUAAGUAACUGUGCACAUCUUGACGGUACCUAAUCAGAAAGCCACGGCUAACUACGUG